This 487-nucleotide ribosomal RNA is filed under the name uncultured Alphaproteobacteria bacterium. Its description in RNAcentral is "bacterial SSU rRNA". It matches the Rfam family "Bacterial small subunit ribosomal RNA", at positions 355 to 860 of the family's 1533-position model. Lineage: Bacteria; Pseudomonadati; Pseudomonadota; Alphaproteobacteria. The record is from RNAcentral.
UGGGGAAUCUUGGACAAUGGGCGCAAGCCUGAUCCAGCCAUGCCGCGUGAGUGAUGAAGGCCUUAGGGUCGUAAAGCUCUUUCGCCAGAGAUGAUAAUGACAGUAUCUGGUAAAGAAACCCCGGCUAACUCCGUGCCAGCAGCCGCGGUAAUACGGAGGGGGUUAGCGUUGUUCGGAAUUACUGGGCGUAAAGCGCACGUAGGCGGAUCAGAAAGUAUAGGGUGAAAUCCCAGGGCUCAACCCUGGAACUGCCUUAUAAACUCCUGGUCUUGAGUUCGAGAGAGGUAAGUGGAAUUCCGAGUGUAGAGGUGAAAUUCGUAGAUAUUCGGAGGAACACCAGUGGCGAAGGCGGCUUACUGGCUCGAUACUGACGCUGAGGUGCGAAAGUGUGGGGAGCAAACAGGAUUAGAUACCCUGGUAGUCCACACCGUAAACGAUGAAUGCCAGACGUCAGCAAGCAUGCUUGUUGGUGUCACACCUAACGGAU